GACGAACGCUGGCGGCGUGCUUAACACAUGCAAGUCGAACGGAAAGGCCCUUCUUUUGUGGGGUGCUCGAGUGGCGAACGGGUGAGUAACACGUGAGUAACCUGCCCUUGACUUUGGGAUAACUUCGGGAAACUGGGGCUAAUACCGGAUAGGAGCUCCUGCUGCAUGGUGGGGGUUGGAGAGUUUCGGCGGUUGGGGAUGGACUCGCGGCUUAUCAGCUUGUUGGUGGGGUAGUGGCUUACCAAGGCGUUGACGGGUAGCCGGCCUGAGAGGGUGACCGGCCACAUUGGGACUGAGAUACGGCCCAGACUCCUACGGGAGGCAGCAGUGGGGAAUAUUGCACAAUGGGCGGAAGCCUGAUGCAGCAACGCCGCGUGCGGGAUGACGGCCUUCGGGUUGUAAACCGCUUUCGCCUGUGACGAAGCGUGAGUGACGGUAAUGGGUAAAGAAGCACCGGCUAACUACGUG
RNAcentral lists this ribosomal RNA (468 nucleotides) under uncultured bacterium. RNAcentral describes it as "partial 16S ribosomal RNA". It matches the Rfam family "Bacterial small subunit ribosomal RNA", at positions 28 to 507 of the family's 1533-position model. The record is from RNAcentral.